GGUGAAGAUGACUGAGUACUUAAAGUUGGAUGCGCCUAAAUUUACUACGGGAGAUGAUCCCUUUGAGUAUCUCAGUGCAGUGAGAAUGAUAACAAGUGAGUUGGGAGCAGAUGAGAGCAGGGCCAUUGAGAUGGCAGGGUUCACUUUAAAAUGCAAGAAAGCCAGAGAAUGGUUCAAGAACUAUGUGGACCCCAGAAUAGACAGUAUGACAUGGGAAGAGUUCGCCAACGAAUUUGCUGGGUGGGCUUUUCCUGACAGUUCUAGGGAGCUAAAGGUUGUGGAGUUUGAGCAGUUGAGACAGACGGAGGAGAUGAGCAUUGAUGAGUAUACCGAUAAGUUCCUGGAAUUGUUACCAUACGUGGGUCAGGCGUAUGAUACGGAUCAGAAGAAGGCAAAGAGAUAUGCCACAAGGCUUCAUCCUAGGUAUUUCUCUUUGAUUCUUCACGCGGAAAAGGAGAGUUUCCACUCUAUUGUGGAUGCUGCUAGAAAGAUGGAGGCCAGUGCCAUCAGUCAGGGAGUAGUCAAGCAAGCAAAGGCACAGGCUUCUGGUACGGCAAGUGCGAGCAAGAAGAGAUGGGAUACAUUCAGAGGAAAGAGAGGCAAGUUCUGGAGCAGGAUUAAGACGGGUCUGGGCAUGAGUAGCGGCUCCAGCUCUGGCACAGAUCUUCCAGUUUGUCAUAGGUGUGGGAGACCACACAGAGGAGCUUGUAUGUUGGGAUCUUCAGCCUGCUAUAGAUGUGGGCAGGAGGGACAUUAUGCACGGGAAUGUCCUCAGGCGACUUUGGUUGCACCAUCCCAGCAGAUGACCUCAGGUAGUGUCGUCCAGUCAGCAGCUUCAGUCCGUCCACCAAGCAGUGGCAGAGGUAGAGGAAGAGGGGCAGCCUCUUCAUCAGGGAUGGGUUCCCGAGGUGCAGGUCCGUCAGCUCCAGCACGGAUUUUCACCAUGACGCAACAGGAGGCAGACACGUCGAACACAGUGGUGUCAGGUACUCUCAUCAUUUGGUGUUCAGAGGUGUAUGCUUUAAUGGACCCCGGUGCUUCUCACUCUUUCAUUUCUUCUAGAGCUGCAGAGAGAUUGGGGUUGAUUGUAUCCGCGUUAGCGUGUCCUCUCUGGGUCAGUGGACCUAGAUGUGACCCAUCAUUGGCAGAGUCAGUCUGUCAGUUCAGUCCAGUGUGUAUAGAGGAUAGAUGCCUUCCAGCUGACCUUGUGGUUCUAGAGUUGACAGAUUUUGAUGUCAUUCUAGGGAUGGAUUGGUUAUCUACCUAUAGUGCUACCUUGCACUGUAGGGACAAGGUAGUGAGUCUAAGAGACCAGGAUGGGUCAGAGUGUGUCUUCAGAGGAGACAAGAAAGGGACACCUAGGGGUUUGAUAUCAGCCCUUCAGGCUCGUAGGAUGUUGAGGAAGGGUUGUCAGGGGUUCCUAGCUUAUGUGAGAGAGCUAGACAGUCAGGUUAGGGAACCAUCCUCAGUACCAGUUGUUAGAGACUUCCCAGAUGUGUUUCCUGAAGAGCUUCCAGGACUACCACCUGUUAGGGAAAUAGAGUUCGAGAUAGAGUUGAUGCCCGGUGCCAGAC
Molecule: long non-coding RNA, 1574 nt
Filed under: Manihot esculenta (cassava)
Lineage: Eukaryota; Viridiplantae; Streptophyta; Magnoliopsida; Malpighiales; Euphorbiaceae
Description: long non-coding RNA (MESC_LNC008513)
Source: RNAcentral